This 433-nucleotide ribosomal RNA is filed under the name uncultured bacterium. Its description in RNAcentral is "partial 16S ribosomal RNA". It matches the Rfam family "Bacterial small subunit ribosomal RNA", at positions 29 to 507 of the family's 1533-position model. The record is from RNAcentral.
AACGAACGCUGGCGGCAUGCCUAACACAUGCAAGUCGAACGAGACCUUCGGGUCUAGUGGCGCACGGGUGCGUAACGCGUGGGAACCUGCCCUUAGGUUCGGAAUAACUCCCCGAAAGGGGUGCUAAUACCGGAUAAUGUCUUCGGACCAAAGAUUUAUCGCCUUUGGAUGGGCCCGCGUUGGAUUAGCUAGUUGGUAGGGUAAAAGCCUACCAAGGCGACGAUCCAUAGCUGGUCUGAGAGGAUGAUCAGCCGCACUGGGACUGAGACACGGCCCAGACUCCUACGGGAGGCAGCAGUGGGGAAUAUUGGACAAGGGGCGAAAGCCUGAUCCAGCAAUGCCGCGUGAGUGAUGAAGGCCUUAGGGUUGUAAAGCUCUUUUACCCGGGAUGAUAAUGACAGUACCGGGAGAAUAAGCUCCGGCUAACUCCGUG